Molecule: long non-coding RNA, 1390 nt
Organism: Zingiber officinale
Lineage: Eukaryota; Viridiplantae; Streptophyta; Magnoliopsida; Zingiberales; Zingiberaceae
Exons: 3
Source: RefSeq, a predicted model, not a curated record
GGAAUGCCAGGGCAUGCGCCAUCCAUCCUUCUCCCAAAGGCUUAUCUGCUUCUCUUGUAGGUGAAGGAUGGCACAAGGCUCUCUUUAUAAGCCAACUGCAAAAGAGAAUUGGAAUCAUUUGAAUAAAGCAGUGAACAUGGGCAAAUGGGCAAGUUGCACCAUGGACUGAGUAGAUGUUCUUUUUGAGGAAUGGAAGGCAGAAAGUGAUCAGAGAAUGUCUAUUAUAAUUAAAGCAGAGGCCAAGAAAGAAGAUUGAUUGCAAACUAUGUUGAAGCAACAUUUUGCCUAUUGCUUAGGGUGCAAAAAGCAGGAAGGUGACCCCUCUAUUUCAGGAAUUUGCGACUUGUGCAGGACCGCUGCUCUAACUUGCGUAUGCUUGUGCAGAUAAGUUGCAUGAUUAGUAAACAUAUAUCUUAGGCAAGCAUUGGGCAGCAAACAAGGUUGGGUAUUUUUCUGCUUGGCUUGCAAUUCCGACUCUUAACAGUUCCCUUUUGCCACCAAAUUGGAAUCAAAGUAAAGACCCCUUGAACUAGACCAACUUUGUACAAGUGCCAAGUUGAAUACUCUCUACAAGUUGGAGCAAAUUGGAUAUCUGAUCUCAAUUGUUCCUUCCAGUACUAGGUAUAGUAGAUCCUCUAUAGCUUCUCUGAUCAAGAGGGAUAAAGAAGGCUGAAGAGUGAAGAGGUUGAAAGCUCGAAGAGCAAGAGAAUUCAAUGUGCUCGGGCCACUACUGGGCUUAGGAUUUAGGGAUUUUGGAACCUUUGGUUGGCCCCUUGCUCGAAGAUUGUAGCAUUAGGUGGUAAGAGAGUUGCUUAGGAGAUGACUGAUGUACCUUUUUUUUGCCCACUGGAGCAGAAUGACAGUAAUAUUCUUUGCCACUUGAACAUCAAUAGGGCUUCUUCAUUCUAUUGUUUGGUCUCACAAGAAGAUAAUCAUUGCUAAGCUAGCCAAGUGAAUUCUCUCAUGGAAUUUGUAAAAUUCUCUUGGAGGUUCAGUGCAUGGUCGGUUGUCGAUUCAGAUUGAACCGUCUUGUUUAGAUUCGGAUUGUGAUCACAUCAAAUUACGCCCUUUUUGUUCUUGCUUGAUUAGGAAUUUGAUGGAUUAGUUCAGUGUUUGCCUUUUUCUCUGCGAGGAACCCACACUGAAGAACACCCCUCCCUCACGCGAGUUCUCCCAUUGUUGUCGACAAGAGGUAAAAUUUUCAAAGUUGAGAGAUAAAAUAUAAUUCCUUAAAUAUUGCAAGACGGAAUUAAAAAGUUAAUAGGGUUAAACUUUUUGAGAUUCAAAGUUGGGUUUGUGGUAUGUCCACAUAAAAUAGGGAUCCAAGAUAACUUUUUCAUAGUCCUAGGGUAUAAUCGAGUUGAUUAUCACAUAGCAGGUUUGUAGAAUU